Molecule: regulatory RNA element, 114 nt
Organism: Strongyloides ratti
Lineage: Eukaryota; Metazoa; Nematoda; Chromadorea; Rhabditida; Strongyloididae
Rfam family: Potassium channel RNA editing signal
About the family: This family represents a group of sequences related to the human potassium channel Kv1.1 hairpin element which directs the efficient modification of an adenosine to inosine by an adenosine deaminase acting on RNA (ADAR). The ADAR modification causes an isoleucine/valine recoding event which lies in the ion-conducting pore of the potassium channel. It is thought that this editing event targets the process of fast inactivation and allows a more rapid recovery from inactivation at negative potentials.
Source: Rfam
AUAGGAUUUGGUGAUAUGGUACCAAAGACAUACCUUGGUAUGAUUGUUGGUAGUGUUUGUGCAUUAAUGGGUGUCUUAACAAUAGCCCUUCCUGUACCAGUUAUUGUUUCUAAU